Molecule: long non-coding RNA, 33791 nt
Filed under: Triticum aestivum (bread wheat)
Lineage: Eukaryota; Viridiplantae; Streptophyta; Magnoliopsida; Poales; Poaceae
Description: long non-coding RNA (TAES_LNC021465)
Rfam family: tRNA (bases 19469-19540)
Source: RNAcentral
UUUAUUCUGUCAUUCUCUGAAUUAUAUUUUCAGAUAUUAUCAAUUCCUCGGCGAUCAUCUAUCUUUCUAAAUGAUCUUCACCCGAGGUAAUCCAAUCAACUAGCCUAUGCCCCGUAACAUUGCUCAUGAUUUUUUUUUGCAUGAUCUUUAUCUUGAUCUACAUGCUAGAAGUGUGUAUAUGGUUUAUGGUUUAUAUGGCUAUGCUUUAUGUGCUUGCAUGGUAUAUAUCCAUAUCCUUAUAUGCUUUGAUUGCUAGAUGAGUACUAGAGAUGUGAUAUGUGCGUAUGAGUAUGGAAUCUGAUGAUUCACUCUAGUCAAAUGAAUAAACUUGUCGAAAGUACAUAGAUGCCAACUUAAAAAUAAUGGUACAAGACCUUAACCGAACACUUACUUUAUUUGCACCUGUUGAGCCCCCAUGCCUAGCUUAGACAUGGAUUAGAUACAUUCAUACUUUCCUGCGGUUACUAUGCCUCACACUGUGCGGUAGUGAUUGCUGAUGGCUUACAACAACCGUUUUAUAUAUUGAUUGCACUAUGACUAUUAUCCUUAGAUGGAGUGUGGUUGUUAUGUUAUAUAGUGAUGUUGUCCUUUGUCAUGAUUAUCCAUCAUUAUAAAAAUGUGAUGAACCUGAUUUAUUUAUUGUCAUGAUAAAGAACACACCUAAUCAACACAACCGCCUCCAUUAGGUAGAUCGAGUCAUAGUGCCGCUCAACCGAGAUAAAUAAAUGCGACCACAUUUGCCUUACCUAGGAAGGCCCUAACCUAAUAUAUCACCAAACCUCUUAUUUUCAUCCUCAUUGGGUACGACUAGAUGACGUACAUUGCCUAGGCCAGGUGAGCAACGUCUAACUUAUGGGUGCGUUGGACAAGUAGUUGUUAUUGAGUACUCGAAUCUAGUUAAACCGGUCACGGUCAGGAAUGCCCUGGGGCAUUGGGUCCAUAUAUGCGCCCCCAUGACAUUGUUGUCGAUGAUGCUAUAGACGUGUUAUGAUGGUAGAACCGGUUUGUUGGAGUAACAUUUGUCCACUCGCGAGGGAAGUGUAUCGAGAUACAAGACAAAGAGGGGGACUUCAUGGUGUGGGUACAAUAUACAACCUCUGCAGAGUCUUAGCCUAUUCGAAUAGCUGCCUCCUCGAUUAUGGACACAAUUUGCAUUUGGCCACACUAUUUAUUUCGUCUGUGUCGAGUUUGGAGGUAUGAACAUCUUUAAAUAUAAGAUUGCACGUGAACAAACUUGAAAUAGGGGAUAUGUCAUAAUUUUGUGCAGGAACUGGAUGACAUGACAUGUCAUGACUUGGUAUGUUAGCCAUGAUAUGGCUAGGAGACCGAUGAUAUUGAUUGGUAGGAAAACAUGAGAAUGAUCUUGAGUGAUAAUAAGAAUAAACCUGAAUAAGAUGCAUUUGCAGGAACAUGCUUUAUCCUCGUUAUAUUAUAUUUAGUUCAGUUAUCUUGACAGAUAUGUUAGUGAUUUCUUGAUAGCUAGACUUGCCGUGAUACUAUUUAUGCUUGCCAUGCCAUGUUAACUAUAAUUGUUAAGUUAAAUUUUUGCAGAUUAUGUUGGUAGGUCAUGUUUUCUUUUUCUUUUCUUUUUUUGCAGGGGAGGUCAUGUUUUCUUUGCUUGGGAUAUACUAUGUUAUUUGAUUGAGCUUGCAGUACAUUAAAAGUACUCACAAGACUUUUAACGUGGGCAUCUUCAACUAAUAUGCAGCUAGAGUGUUCGUGUGCUAGAAGAUUAAUCCAGCUAGUCAUGUGCGUUUAUAGAGCCCAUCCAUGAGCCAUUGUAACCACUGAAGUCUUCCGCUGCGAUAAUUUAAGCCACUGGUCUAUUACGACAAUGUCGUAUAAACAAUCUUGCAAUAGCUCUGUAAACCUGAGAAUAUAUUGUCGUUAGCAUUUCCAUGUCAUGAACUCAGUCAUGCAUGCUCGUUAUCCUGGGCUGAGGUAUGGAAGUGCCCUCAAGGGUAUGAGACAGUCACCAUCAUCCGAACCGAUGAAGAUCGGUAAAGGGAUUUCUCUCCCAAAGAUGCCUUGCCACCAACUUCCCUUUCCGGCCACAAAACGGAUUCCCCAUACACAUUAGGUUGUGUUUCUAACAAAAAAGGUGUGCACCGACGCUCACUGCCCUUCUUCUUUGACCUCCACGACGACGAGGAAAGUGGGUCGAGCUGUUGCUGAAGCCAUGUACGAAGGUUCAUGUAUAACGAGUACAUGCCUACUGUCAGAUCCUUGUAUCUUUUUUUUUUGGUAAAAUCUGCGUGUGGUUUCCCACAAUAAUAUCUAUGGAAACCCAAGUACCUUCAACGAGUAAGAUUUUCUUUUGGUUAUAAUGACCAAAAAAAGUAUCUUAACUAAGGAUAACUUGUUGAGAUGAGUCUGGAAAGGAAGUAAAAUUUGUGUUUAUUGUGGACAGGGUUAAUGUAUUGAUCAUUUGUAUUUUCAAAAGGCUAACUUGGAGCCUCAUGAAAUGUGUUUUUGCUCUUAAUUCUACUCUUGUUAACCUGAGUGGUUGUUCUGGUAGGACCUGCAGCAAUGUUCUGGUAGGACAUGCAGAUACGGAUGAGGAAGAAACCCUCCCGCCGUCGAGGCCCGAGGAUAUCAUCGACGUGGCCGGUUGCUUGAUCUUGCUGACGAAACCAGACUUCCAUCCAUGCCCUACUGUGCCUUUUUCGGUUUUCAAAUUACAGUUCGUCUUGUUAGUGGUGUGAACAGUUGUCGUUAUGGGCACGCGUCCUUUUACCGCGCUGUGAUGAUAUUACGUUCCACACGCAGUUGUCCACAAGUCCAUUGUCGUCCAGCCCGGUUAGGAUACCUGGCUUUCACCCAGGCGACCCGGGUUCAAAUCCCGGCAAUGGAGAUUUUUUUUCUUCCAGUUUUAUCUUUUUUACUAUUAUAAUAAAACACGAGGUCGUCGGAGCAGAGCUGAGCCAGCGCAUCGCCCGUAGCUUUGCUCGGCACAGACACAACAAAGGGUAAGGCAGCAAGCAACCGUACCAAUUUCUUCGGAGUUUCUAAAACGUUUUGGAUUUUUGGCUAAUUCUCAUUCGACUGAAUCUCGAUUUCACUCUCAGUCGAGUUUUGAACCGCCUGAUCGUCGUCCCCGGAUCUUUGCGCGCACCCGCACCCGCACCGUGUGGGUUGUCCGUCGCUCCGCUUUCAGGUGCACUUUUGGCCGCGGUACACAGUGGCGUUCAGCGCUGCUCAGUUCGUCCUUGUGCCAGCGCAGGCGGGAGGCGGUGGAGUGAGGCGAGCUGCUGUGGAGCUAACGGAGGGGGGCGGAGGCUGCCGUCGCGUCAAGCGGCGGAGGAGGAGAUGGUGGGGAUCGAGAGGACUCCAGCGGGGCUCUCCCUCACCGUGCGCGCCACAAGCUUGCAGUUGUAGUGGCCCGCGGGGAGGAACCGUCUGAGCGUCGCCGGCCCGAGAUAGGCACGGCGAGCCCUCUCCCUCCCCAUGCUGCUCAAUGCUUUCUCCUCUCGCUCGCUCGUCCCGCUUCGAUUUUUUGCACCCACCUCUCACUCUCAGCGCGGCCGGCUUUGUCGAAAAACCUCUCGGCGCGCCUGCAUCCUCUUCCCCUUCUCGUCGCUUCACCGUCAGUUCAUCACUGAUCCGACGGGGAGCUAAGUAUGUCAGGGAUCAAAAACCUGAGGCGCGCGGCAAAUGUCUGUCCGCUGCCUUUUGUUCAGGGACAACGUGAGUCGGUUCUUUUUGUCCGUAGGCAGUGCUGGUGAUUUGAUUCAGUUCAUUGAUGAGAGCUAGGUAGGAUGUAAUAUUAUUCAGGUCAGUGUUUUCUCCACGCAUUCAGCAUAUGCUUCAUUCCAUUUUCUAGCAGCUUACAAUAUUGUUAAGGAUCGACCUCAACUUUGUCAUGUCGUGUAAAAAACACAACAAAAUUUGCUGGAAUUUGGUGUGGCAUCUUGAGUUACUGACAAAAGUUUGCACUGAAAAAUGUCAAGCUUAGCAGAGGAGAAGAUGGAGCAACGGCCACUCGAACUAUAUGCUCUAGAAGAUGGAGCAAUGGCCACUGAGAAAUGUCAGCCGUCACCUCGUUUUGUUCUCUACCUAUUCAGUUCAUUGACGAGUGCUAGUUUGCAGGGUCCUAUUUUCAGUUUGUACUGUAAUUCUAGUCAUUCUGUCGAACAGCUCUCAUGCGCCAUGAGGAGGCCAGAACUGGGUGGUCGCAUGACGCAUCAACCGGAGGCGCUGGACGAGGCCAUGGUGCCGCGCUCCGCCACGCUGGGCACCAACGCCAGCGUCGUGCUGCCGGGCAAAGAUGGAGGACGCACGCUUUCGUGCCCCGAAGCCGCCGCCCCUUGUCAUCCCGGCACGCGUCCGCAGCUUGGUAGGCGCUCACACGACUCCGGGCUCCCCUUGACCAUCCGGGCCGCCGACACCCACGCCGGAGGCCACCACCCUCGUGCUUACGGUGAUGUAUGUUGGCCGAUAAAGCCACGGCGAUCGUGUCGGGUGCGCGUGCACGCGCCGGGCGCAUCGGGUGCGGACCGGACCGAGCCGGAUCCGUGGCAAGGGGGUGCGUGUGUGCGUGCGUGUAGUGGCCUGGAGUGCGCACGCGUGUGUGUGCACCCAGCGGGCGUGUGUAGGAUUAGGUGCAGACAGUUGAGGGAUCGCGAGGCGGGCGUGAUCGCCGCGAGCCGUGCGCGUUCGUGCGCGUGGUGGCCGCGAGCGGAGCGGGCCGAUCGGGGCGCCGGCUCGCCUGGGUCGUGCCCAGCGCAGGCCCAGCUAUAUAAUGCCUCGAGCUGAACAUUGUAACUGUCUGAAGAGGGUCCACCUCGUACUUAAAACACGGAGGGGCGAUUGGGGCGAUCGCAAGGCGAUCGUCGCGAGAGCUAGGGUUAGGGUUUUGCGAGCGGUGGUGGUUGUUUUUCCGGCGGCACGGGAGGGAUCGACGGCGAUCCUGAGCGUGUGGGUCGGUGUGACGCUAUCUCUCCGGUGGGAAGACCAUGGCGGAGAGGACGAAGGAAGGAGUUGCGGAGCCGCGGAGCGCCACGAAAGCUGCAACGGAGGCGGGGACGCCGGGGCCGCAACCGCAGGGAACGUCGACGGCAACACCAAGACCGCCGCCACAGAAGGAGACACCCGCUGGAUCGAUGAGAACGCCACUGGGCUCUCACAGCAGGAACAAUUCUGUAUCUCCAGUAGAUGGAAAAGCGACGGUGAUCUCGGCGGGACUGACGGCUCGGCUGGGUGGUCUGGUGCUAACGGAGAAGGAGUCUAAGGGGUUUGUCUUCAAGGAAUCUGAACAGGAACGUGCGCGUCCGCCGAAGUGGUCGGCNNNNNNNNNNNNNNNNNNNNNNNNNNNNNNNNNNNNNNNNNNNNNNNNNNNNNNNNNNNNNNNNNNNNNNNNNNNNNNNNNNNNNNNNNNNNNNNNNNNNNNNNNNNNNNNNNNNNNNNNNNNNNNNNNNNNNNNNNNNNNNNNNNNNNNNNNNNNNNNNNNNNNNNNNNNNNNNNNNNNNNNNNNNNNNNNNNNNNNNNNNNNNNNNNNNNNNNNNNNNNNNNNNNNNNNNNNNNNNNNNNNNNNNNNNNNNNNNNNNNNNNNNNNNNNNNNNNNNNNNNNNNAUGAAUAAGCGAGCCUUGGAGAUGUCAAUGGCAAGGGCGUGGGGGCUACAUAGGGAAGCCCAGUUCAAGAUCAUUGGGAGAAAUCUUUUCUCGGUGGCGUUCGGAAGUGAAGGAGAUUGGAGACACGCCCUAAACAACGGCCCAUGGCAAUUUGACAUCAAUGUUCUAAUUCUCAAGGAUUAUGAUGGUGUAACUAGACCGUCGGAGAUGACUUUCGAAACAGUGGAUAUGUGGGUUAGGGUCGACGAUCUGCCCCUGGACAAACGCUCGAAGGCUUUUGGGGAAGCACUUGGAAAUUGGCUGGGCAAGAUCAUGCGUGUGGAUGUAGAGAAAGAUGGCUUUGCGAAGGGCUCCGAACUGCGUUUCAGAGCUAAACUCUCAGUCUUCGAGCCGUUAGUGAGGGUUUCUAUCUUAAGAAGGAUGAAGAUGACCUGGAGCAAACAUGGUUUGAUUUUAAGUACGAAAGGAUCCCACAUUUCUGCUUUGAGUGUGGUAGGCUUGUUCAUGGCGCAGGUGGGUGCACUCCGGCCGUGGAGCCGGAUCAGCAGUGGGGAGAGUGGCUCAGGGCCUCGCCGGGGCGUUCAUCGGGACCAAAAGAGGGAUCUCACCGUGCCCCUUCUGGAAGUGCCAAUAGCUAUGGGAGUGUGAGGUCGAGCGACGGUGAAAGGAACGGAAGGAAGACCGGAACAGUCCCCGAUCUUCCCACCAAACGUAACCUGCAAAGGGAGUUCACUACCCCAGCUGCAUCCCACACUGGUGGGGGCGGUAGAGGAGAAUAUGAGGGUGUUUCAAGUCCAAACACACAGAGGCAUGGUGAGAAUGCAUCCCGGGAACGGGACCUUCGUGAUGACUUGGAGCUGAGACGGGAGAGAGUGUUGCGAUCUGAACUGAGGCAGCGGCAGCAGGAGAAGCAGGCGGAUAUCAGAAAUAAGUACAAGCAGCAGGAUUCGCGUAACAAUGAUGCUGCUGAGAGCUCGGACAGAUUCAGAGGGCGAGAACGCAGGCAGGGAUACUAUAUGCACCAACCUAGGUCUGGGAACUAUACGGAACAGCGUCCCCCUCUUAGCCCAAGACAUGAAUUCAAAGGAGAAAGGAAGAGGUGGCCGAAACAGCAGUGGGUGGUUAAAGGAGACGUGGACAUGCAGGUUGGUAAUGAUAUCUUCAUUCGCGAGACGAGGCAAAAAACCUCUUCUGUGUUUGAUCGUAUCUCUAAGCAACACGACGAAGCGGCGGUCCCUGCCAGGCAGGGCCGUCGGACGCCAUGAAUCUCCUGGCCUGGAACUGUCGAGGCUUGGGGUUGGACUCGACAGUUGGCGAAUUAAGAGACCUAAUACGGUCCUACAACCCAGUGGUGGUUUUUCUUUGUGAAACGAAGAAAACGGCGAGAGCAAUGGAGCGACUCCAGUGGAGCAUGGGAUUUAAUCGAGGGGUAGCGGUAGACUGUCAAGGGAGGAGUGGGGGUCUGGCUCUAUGGUGGAGAGAUCAUCUUCAAGUUACCGUUCGUCCGUGGAGCCAGUACUUUAUUGAUGCAGAGGUGAUGUGGGAGGGAAAAACUUGUAGGAUCACUGGAUUCUACGGGUAACCUCGAACGGAACUACGCAAGAAAUCAUGGGAUGCUAUUAGAUACUUGCGAGCUCAAGACGAUCUGCCGUGGAUAUGCAUGGGUGAUUAUAAUGAAGCCUUGUUUCUUUCUGACCAGAUUGGUGGUAACCCAAGACCUUUCAUGCAAAUGGAAGAUUUUCGCGACUGUCUUGCUGAUUGUGGCUUGGCAGACUUGGGGUUCUCGGGCUAUCAAUAUACAUGGGAUAAUAAGAGGGAUGGUGUGGAAAAUAUUCAGGUGCGGUUAGAUCGAGCCACUUGUACUGAUUCCUUCUUACGAAUGUUCCCGGAGACAACAGUUGAGCACAUCAUGACCGAAGAGUCUGACCACCAAGCUUUGCUGGUCCGGGCGCUGGAGACGGCUCCGCAUGGGGAUGGGCCAAGAGAGAGAGCUUUCAGAUUUGAGGAAGCUUGGACUCGCCACGAAACAUAUCAAGAAAUGUUUGAGGAAGCGUGGGAGGCAACACAAACGGGCGACCAAGGUAUAGCUGUUGUGUGGCAAAGACUCAAAGGCACGACGGGGGCGAUGCAAAGGUGGGCACGGGAAGUAUUUGACUCGAUCAGAAGGCAGAUUGCAAAGUUAAAAGGACAGCUGAGUGAUGCCAAGGUGAGAGCUCUUUCGACUGGACACUCACUGGAGGUCCUUGAGAUUGAAGCGCAGCUUAAGGAAAUCUAUACACGUGAGGAGAUUAUGUAUAAGCAGAGGUCACGUGUUGACUGGUUAAGUGCGGGAGAUUAGAACACAAAAUAUUUUUAGAGCCGUGCUACUCAUAGGAAAAAGAAAAACACAAUCAAAGCCCUUCGAAGGGAGGAUGGAACUAGAUGUACAGUGGAUGAACAAAUGAGAGAAAUGGCGGCAGGUUUCUACGAGGGGCUGUUUACCUCGGAUGGUACGUCAGGUGCCAAUGCAUUGUUACAGAAUAUUCAUCAAGUGGUCUCUCCGGACAUGAACAAUGCGCUUACCGCCCCUAUCACUAAUGACGAGAUACAUGCAGCUCUGUUCCAAAUGGGGCCAACGAAGGCGCCCGGUCCGGACGGGCUCCCGGCUCUUUUCUACCAGCGGCAUUGGCCGCAGGUCCGUGAUGAUGUGUGUCGGGCUGUGAGGGAUUUCUUGGGUGGUGUGGCCGCCCCGGAGGAUUUUAAUGAUACGGUCAUUGUUAUGAUUCCUAAGACCAACUCACCGGAGUUGUUGUCUCAGUUCAGACCAAUUAGUCUGUAACGUGUUUUAUAAGAUUGCUACCAAAGUUUUGGCAAAUAGAUUGAAAGGCAUUCUCCCCAUUCUUAUCUCAGAGGAGCAAAGCGCGUUUGUACCGGGUCGUCUCAUCACUAACAAUGUCCUGGUUGCAUAUGAGUGUGUUCAUGCAAUACGGACUAGGAAAAGGAAGAAACCAUUGUGCACGGUAAAACUGGACAUGAUGAAGGCAUAUGAUAGGGUAGAAUGGGUGUUUUUGCGACAGAUGUUAGAGCAGUUUGGUUUUGCACCACGAUGGAUUAUGAUGAUCAUGAGAUGUGUCACCACAGCUAAUUUCUCUGUCAAGUUGAAUGGUGCUUGCUCCAGGAGGUUUUCACCAUCCCGGAGGCUACGGCAGGGUGACCCGCUCUCUCCAUACCUCUUUCUCUUUUUGUGUUGAGGGUUUCUCGGCGCUGCUGAAGAGGGCACAAGAAGACGCCAAGAUCAAAGGGGUGACGUUUGGGAGCACUGGCCCCCAUGUCACUCACCUCCUUUUUGCGGACGACAGCAUAGUUUUUCUGGAAGGAUCGAGGGACAAUAUGGUGGCCUUAAAGGAGAUUUUAAAUAGUUAUGAAGCGGCUUCGGGGCGACGUGUGAAUUUACAGAAAUCCUCAAUAUUUUUUGGCAAGGGGUGUGGAGAGAAUACAAAGGCAGAGUUGAAGAGUGCACUUGGAAUUGAUUCAGAAGCUCUGAGUGAACGCUAUCUUGGGCUGCCAACACUGGUUGGUCGUUCAAAGGAGGGCACUUUCAAGUAUGUGACGGAAAGUUCCAAGUCAAAAGUGAGUGGCUAUAAGGGCCAAGGUUUGUCCAAAGCGGCGAAGGAGGUUUUGGUGAGAUCCGAACUCUAAGUUGUACCUACUUUCACCAUGAGUUGUUUUCAGCUCACUAAGAAAACGUGCCGGAAUCUGACUUCGAUCUCUUCAAAAUUCUGGUGGGGUGAAUCAAAUGGUGAAAGGAAAGUACAUUAGAUCUCUUGGCAAAAAAUGUGUGCUGCAAAAAGAGUUGGGGGUUUAGGGUUUCGGGAUCCAGAGGGCUUCAACCAAGCAUUGCUAGCAAAACAAGCGUGGAGGAUUUUGCAAGAACCGAACUCACUAUGCGCAAGGGUCCUCAAGGCCCGCUAUUUCAAGGAGCAAUCUAUCAUGACGGCCACAUGCCCUUCCAACGCCUCCUACACCUUUCGCAGUGUGCUGCAUGGGAGAGAUCUCUUAAGGGAGGGAACAAUAUGGCGCAUAGGAGACGGGUCGAAGGUGAAUAUUCAUCACGAUAACUGGAUUCCGAGGCAGGGAAGUUUGAAGCCAUUGGGCCAACUCUUCAUACCCGGUGUGGCAAGGGUGGCAGAUUUGUUAACUCUCGACGGCCGUUCAUGGGACGCAGCAAAGGUGGAUGCCAUGUUUAGUCCGACUGAUGCAGCGGAUAUCAAACACAUCGCUAUUGGGGGUCCGGAAGAACAGGAUUACAUGGCCUGGAACUACACAAAAAAUGGGUGUUUUACUGUCAAAUCUGCAUACCACCUGAGAAAGGCGAUGGGAAGAACGAGGACCGGACAGCUGGAAUACAGUGACUGCACACAAGGGGUUCAUGGCGCUGUGGGACACAUGUGCACCGGCAAAAGCAAAGAUUCAUAUGUGGCGUUUGAUUAAAAAUGGGCUGGCUGUGGGGUUCGAACUACAUCGACGACGGAUUAAACCGGGUGUUUUUUGUGUUGCAUGCGAAAGAGAAGAAACCAACUAUCACUGGUUUUGGGCAUGCCAACAUUCAGCAAGGUUCUGGCAGCUCUUCCACUCAGAGAAGGGAGUUGCGGUGGCGAUCCCACCGUGCACGACGGACUCCCAGAGUACUCUAGCUCGCUGGCUCCUCGAUUGGUUUGCCGGGGCAUCUGAUGAAGACCGAGAGGUUAUGGUGCAUUCGGUGUAUGGCCUCUGGCUCGCUCGGAAUGAUGCUCGAGAUGGUAAGCCGAUCGCCACAACACAUGAAAUAAUGAACUCUGUUUUUUCCCACAUGAAGGAAUGGAGGGAGAUACAUCCACAAAAGCCGGGUGCGCCUGUUAGGCAAGAACCACAGCACUGGGAGCCUCCUGACGAGGGAUGGGUUAAAGUAAACUCAGAUGGUGCAGUGUCAAAAUUUGGAGCAAAAGGGGGAGGAGGAGCAGUUCUUAGAGAUCACAAUGGUGCCUUUCUGGCAGCUACCUGUCAUCAUUUCCCAAACAUUAUGGAUCCGGAAGCUACUGAGGUCUUGGCGUGUCGACGUGCUUUGCAGGUAGCAGCAGACAUUAACGCAAUAAGAGUUCAUCUGGAGUUGGAUGCUCAAGCUGUGGUGAAUAUGCUGAAACAUUCAGCGAGGAAUCUGUCGGCUAACGGCCCUUGGAUUGAGGAGGUGAAAGCUCUUCUUGGGUCCUUCGUCGAGUACAAGAUUUUUUGGGUUCGGCGUUCUGCUAAUAUUGCCGCGCAUAAAUUAGCUAAAGUAGGUGUUGGUGAUGAAUUGUGUAAGGUGUGGUUGGGGGUCCCCCAGACUUUGCUAUUUCUGUAAUCGCGGAUGACAUUCCGGGGUUUGAGUUUUAAAUAAAUGCGGCAAUAUUUACCCUAAAAAAAACUGUCUGGUGGGUCGAGUUCGUGCUCGAGAGAAACAAGGAUCGUCGUUGCUGCGGCGGGGCGUAGCGUACGUGCGCCAGAAAGUCCACCGUGUCCACUGCUCCUUCUCCUUCCUCCUUUAUUCUUCGUUGUGCGUCUGAGAGAGAGAGAGAGUGAGAGAGCUCCGGCGAGCGAGGGAGAAGGCCGCGGCAACAACAAUGUCCCAAGAGCACGGCGUGCCAGGGCCGGCUGCGGACGGACUCAAGCCCCCAGAGCGGCAGGCAGUCGACGGCGAAGAACCUCCUGGAGGCGCCGGAGACGACGACGAACGCUGGGGUGGGCGUGGAGCUUGUGGUCCACAUCCUUCGGAGCCAACGCGUAUGCGCGUGCGUGUCCAAGGCCGACGCGUCGGCGUCCAAGCACGGCCGCCGCGGGUUCGGGCGCCUCCUGGCCGGCCGCGAGGCGCAGGAGCUGUACGAGGCAGACGUGAGGAGGCCAGGAGAGCGCGGCCUCCAGCUGAUCCGGCGAGACCGCGUCACUGCCGUGCCGUCGAUGUGGUGCUGCUUGUUGGCGCCGCCUCUCGCAGCGCUGCUCUUCUUCUUCCUCUUGUUGCCUCACACAACUCUCUCUUGUUUCCUUGUUUCUCUCACGAACACAAAGACACACACCGGGGCAGAAAACACACACGCACACACACAUUCACCAGGGAGGAAAUUAGCUUUGCCUUAUCUCUCCCGGUGACAAUCACAUGCGCUACAUGGUUUCCUUCAGCCCUCACGGCCUUUUCAUUUCAUUACUCCAAUGCAGUACAUAUAUAUACACCAGGGGUAGGACACACCCACUAACCCGACCACCACGUUGGCCACUAACCAACUAACGCUACAUACUUCAUGCAGACCCAUGCACUAGCCAGCCACUACCCUCGGCAACUAAUCCCACUAGCCCAUGGACUUAUCUUUAUCCCUGGAAUCGCUCCAACGACUCAGCCAUACAACUAGCUACUCAUGCAUGCUAACAAACUCAUCCAUGAAGCUAGCUAACCACUUGCAUGCAUCUAACCAAUCCAUCCAGCCGGUGCCGCUUCGCCGUCCAUGCGCUUGCCGUACGCACGGCCGUGCCGCCUCGCGCAGCUUUGCAGCCUCUCGCUGUCAUCGGCAUCUCGCCGUGCUCGCCAUCUCACACGGCAGCUUGGCAUCACGCCUUUUUCGCACGCCUCCCCUGAACCCUUGCCGACCUACAACUUCUGAACCUACACUACAUGCCUAAAUGAAAUAAACAUGCUGAUACAAAUAUCAAGAUUAGUUCUAACAUUCACCCCCCUAAUCUUGAUAUCACAAUCGUCAUACGGAUCACCCGCAGCCACUUGUCGACGCCGUCGCAGCGCCGUACUUGCUAUGGACGACAUCAUCAAAAUGCCGAUCACCACCGCACACCAUCUUGUCGUAGACGACCCCAUCACAGCGUCCGUCACCACAUCGUCCUGCCGCACGCAGCAGCCACCUCUUGACGUGGACGGCGCCUUCGCAACGCCGAUCACCACGCCAUCAUAACCUCGCGGCAUCGCACCGAAACCGGCCAUCAGCGGUACCGCACCGCUGCCAGCCAUCACCUCGCACCGACGUCCUCCACCUCACAUGGAGUCCACCGCGUCACCGCCGUCGCAGCCGUUGCCUCCGCCCAGCACCACGGCGGCCACCAUAGCCGCCGGCACCGUCGUCGCCGCCACGGAUCAACAAGGCUCUGAUGCCAAUUGUUGGCGCCGCCUCUCGCAGCGCUGCUCUUCUUCUUCCUCUUGUUGCCUCACACAACUCUCUCUUGUUUCCUUGUUUCUCUCACGAACACAAAGACACACACCGGGGCAGAAAACACACACGCACACACACAUUCACCAGGGAGGAAAUUAGCUUUGCCUUAUCUCUCCCGGUGACAAUCACAUGCGCUACAUGGUUUCCUUCAGCCCUCACGGCCUUUUCAUUUCAUUACUCCAAUGCAGUACAUAUAUAUACACCAGGGGUAGGACACACCCACUAACCCGACCACCACGUUGGCCACUAACCAACUAACGCUACAUACUUCAUGCAGACCCAUGCACUAGCCAGCCACUACCCUCGGCAACUAAUCCCACUAGCCCAUGGACUUAUCUUUAUCCCUGGAAUCGCUCCAACGACUCAGCCAUACAACUAGCUACUCAUGCAUGCUAACAAACUCAUCCAUGAAGCUAGCUAACCACUUGCAUGCAUCUAACCAAUCCAUCCAGCCGGUGCCGCUUCGCCGUCCAUGCGCUUGCCGUACGCACGGCCGUGCCGCCUCGCGCAGCUUUGCAGCCUCUCGCUGUCAUCGGCAUCUCGCCGUGCUCGCCAUCUCACACGGCAGCUUGGCAUCACGCCUUUUUCGCACGCCUCCCCUGAACCCUUGCCGACCUACAACUUCUGAACCUACACUACAUGCCUAAACGAAAUAAACAUGCUGAUACAAAUAUCAAGAUUAGUUCUAACACUGCUGAGGUUGGCAACGACCCGGGCGCCGAGCGCCCCUGAAGGCGAGCAGCGCCGCCUCGUCCUUCCCCUCGCAGCGGAAAUGGCAGCAGCUGGAGAACCGAAGGCCAUCGCCGCCCUCCUCAACCUUCCCGUUCUUCUCAGCGGAGCAGUCGCGGCCACCGUGCGUGUCAUCCUCCAACUCUUUCCCAAGACGGCAAGACGCCGGUAAUCGCUACCUUGUUCGCCGUUGAAUGGUUAGCUGCUGCUGCUGUCCUUUCGCCUCGCUUGGUUGCUCCGGCCGGUGGCGAAGCGGCCCGCAUUGCGCGUGCGCACCUUGGCUCGGCGCUGGCGGCCGGCAGAGCAUGCCGCAACGUAGGGGAGAGGAGAGAUGCCGUGACAGCAUAUAGAUUACACACUGACAUGUGGAUUCGGGACCGAGAUAUAGUAUAGCAGUACAAGUCAAAUACCAAAUUCCGGUCAACAUGCCAUUGUGGACAAAACGAACUUCUAGUUUUCCAGGGGUGAUUUGGCUGGUUUUGGAUAGUUUUUGUUUCUUUUUUUGACAAACUGGUUUUGGAUAGUUUUUUCUUUUUUUGAUAAACUGGUUUUGGAUAGUUUUUUUUUUUUUGAAAGGUUUGUUUUGGAUAGUUGACGGUAAUAUCCCAGUUUUCUGACUUGAGGGGGUGAUGUGGCCGAAACUGGGUACUUCAUAGGGUAUCUAUACUUUUUUUUAUUUCGUGUAGGCGUGGCCUAUAAUUCACAAGAUAAUUUAAACAUUUUCUUUCUGAAUCUCCAAUACACGAGGGAUAGAGUGGAAGUCAGCGCCACAUUCAGUUUUAGUGUCGGCGCAUUCAGUUGAUCAGGUUCAGUUACUUGUUCCUUUGUGAUUCAGUCUUCCCGUUUUUUGUUCCUUUGUUCAGUCCCUGUAGCUGGAAAAUUACAGAUGAUAUGAAGCUUUCCAUUCUUCCAUGAUACAGGCUUCCGAGAGCCCUUGGAUCUGAGAUCGAAUGGUUGCAUGGCGUGAUUCUAGACCUACGGGUGUAUCAUUUUUCAGCCACUUUGUUAUUCACUGUGGUUUCGUUCCUCUGUUCAGUCACUGUGGUUGCAUCAUUUUUCAGUCUCUUGAGCCUCUCUUUCCUUCAGUUUUUCAGUUUUCCAGUUUCUUCUGUUUGUUUGAUCUUUUCUAGUCCUCAGCCGCUUAGUUGAAUCACACUUUUACCCCUCUUUCUUUAGCUUCUCAGUGUACCUAAUUUGCUUAACUUCUUUCCUAACUGUCUCAUUUUCGUUUUUUACUCUUUAAUCCUUUGUUAAUUCUUUGUCUUUGCCAUUGAUCAUUCUUUCUCCGGUCGCUGUUUCUUAUCUCUUCAAUCUUCAUUUCUCUUUUUCUUAGUCCUCAAUAUCUCUUUGGUUGGUUGGUCUUCACUCUUCAUAUAAGCAGAUAGUGAUCUGUUGGCACGUCUCCUCCCCUCCCUCGUGUCGCCCCACUCGGGCGACCCGAGGGGUGAAACCCUAACCCCGCCGCCUCCCUUCCCUCGCCGCCGCCCGAGGCAGCUGACGCCGAGCAAGCUUGGUGCGCCGUCGAUGAAGGUGGCGACGGGGCCCUCGCCUCCUCGCCUCGCCCGUGGGGGGACUCUGGAUCUGGGGCGGCGGCCCCGGCUGGUGUGGAGUCGCGGGCUUCGGCAUCCGGUGGCGCGGGCGUGAGUCGGCUGUUCUUAGCCGUGUGGACGGCGAGAUCCCCGAAGACUGCGGGCCAGCUCGCGGCAGUAUCGUCAGCUCCAACUGCGUCAGACCUAGCCGUCCCCUCUGCCCUUCUUCUCCAGCGAGCUCCUCCCCCCCUCCCAGAUCCGAUCUGCCUCGUCAUGGGGUCCCGGUCUGCUUCGGGUGGGAGCGGGUGUCAGGAUGCAGGACCGGGGGAAACCCCCAGCCAGCCAUGCCAGCGGCGACGCCCGUGGGCGCGGCGCACCUUCCCGAAGGCGUCGUUUAGGUCUUGCCCCCCAUCCCCUUCCCCUUUGUCUCCCAGGAGAAAUCCUCAAUUUUGUUGGGCAGCGGCGACGCCCUUGGCGCUGUAACCUUCUUGAAGGCGCUGUUUUGGGAACAAAGAUGGGUUGUGGGCUUCGUUGUGGUGUAGGUGGAGUGUAUCGGCGGCGGCAGCAUGCGUCCAGCGGUGGCGGUGUCUCCCUUGGUGCUGGGUCAAGUUGUUUUGGUGCUCUUCGACGGGCUGCAGUUUAUUCCUCCGAUGCCCUUGGAUCUUCCAGGACGGGAGGGGAUAGGGUUCCCCUCCUACGGUGGCUGCACUACAGGUCGUCGAGCGAGCCGAAGCUCCCAAUUUGGUCUUUGCCCUUGCUGUUGCCCAAUUGUGCAUUCUGAUCGCUCGCCCUCUUCCAAGUCAGAACUACGGCAUAUGGUGUUGCUCUGCUCUAGGUGAGUCGUCGUUGGCAUGUCGGGAAUGCCUGGUUCCGCCCAAGUGGUUUCUUCGAGGCCAUCCAUCCAGGCUCUAAGCAUGUCCAUCGCUUAACGGUGUGAUGCCUUCGAGCCAGGCGAGGAGGCAGGGGUCUUCUUUGACGAUGGAUCUGGAUGGAUGUGUCUUUCUUCAAGCCCAGGUGUUUUGGCAACGGCGUGCCUUGCAUCGUCGUCGGUGCACUCUCCUGACCAGGAUAUCGCUUUGGCCUUGGUUUUCGGCGUGCAAGAGGUUAAUGGCAUCUCCAAGCUAUAUGUUCUACGCCAAUCUUUCUAACUAGCUUGUUGUAUGUGCAUUGUGAGCUGUUCCCUGACGCCCUUGUAUCUUUGCCGUCUAUCUUCUUUUCUUUAGUUGAUGAGUGGUGUAAUUUGAAGUUGAAAUCCUGGCCGGUUGGUGGCUUUGUUAAUUUAUAAAGCCGGGUUCUGCUUGAGCCUUCGUUCUAAAAUAUAUAUAAGCAGAUGGUAAACAUGUGUUUUUUAGGUGAAUGGCCCAUUAUUUCUCUCUUUUUCUUCACUCUUCACUAUUUUUCUUAGUUUUCAGUCCUUCUCUUUGGUUAUUCUUCACUCUCCAUUUAGUUCAGUCACUGUUUUUUGGACUUGACACGCAGAAAAUCCCAAAGGAAGUAGCCCCAAACUUGACAUCCCGGAGAGCGGGCCACCGACACAAGGGCCGAGCACGGCACUGCAGGCGAUGACUGCAUCACUUCAAGCAGAGUUUGGAAGGAGUUUCUCCUCAAGACAGAUCUCACGAUAGAAACUCACGUUCUAGUUACGUUCCACUCUGUUGCAAACAAGCGUCGGGUGUCGGUAGUUUUCAAUUGUCCUCUAAAGAAUGUAGAGUGUUCAAUCUAGCUAUCUGGUAUCGUGGCGCAAACUUGUUUGCUGACUGUUGUGGGCGUGCUACGGGAAUCUAAUCCUGUGUGUGCGCGAUUACGUAGAUCAGUUUCUCGUGCCUGGCACCUACCUCCUUUUUUUUCUUCCUUUGUUGCCUGUCUUUCUGUGUGUUUUAAGAUUAUUAUCUCCGAUGGUUAAACAACAUCAUUCGAGACCUGAGGUGCAGGUAUGUUUCCCUGCUGUGCUAUUUCCCUCUCGUUCUAUUCAUUUUAAACAAUAUCACUUUGGAACAUGACAGCGUGCUAACAGCUACUCCCUCCGUUCCGAAUUACUUGUCGCAGGUUGGAUGUAUUUAGAUGUAUUUUAGUUUUAAAUACAUCUAUUUCUAUAACGAGUAAUUUAGAACGAAGGGAAUAGAACAUGACAGCAGUCUCCAAUAGACCUAUUCAUGAAUGGCCCAAUAUUCAUUUGCUGUUUGUUCUUUUAUUCAUUACCAUUUGAUUUCUUCUAGGGAACUUCACUGCCGUUUGAUGGGAGCCAUGACAUUCAUCACAAAUAGAUGGGAUUACCAGGCAAAACCUCGCUAAUAAGGCCCAUGAACACUUUAGGGCAACUCCAAUGGCCGACCCAUUUAGUUGGGUUGUGUCCGUUUGAGUCCGCACCACGCAAACACAUAUUUUAUCUGCUUUUUAUGUCCACGUGAAUGCAUUUUUGCCUUAAAUUUGGACUCGAUUUGCGUCCAUAUGUGUGUCCGCUUAGUGUUCGUCUUGGACCUGCAUGCUGCCGCCCAACCACCACCUACCGGUCCUAUUUUAUUUCACGCGUGCGCUUGGGCCCACACAUCAGCCACAGAAGCCAGUCCAUGCUUGUCCUUUUUAAUGCCACACGUGUAGUGGGAGGGGGGCGCCCAGUCCACUUCCUCAACAACCAUCUUCCGUCUUCUUCUUCGUGCCCCCUUGGUCGAUUCCUCGUUGGUGUGCCGCGCAGCUAACUUCAGCAUGUCGUCGCGCCAUGCUUGAGCCGCCGACAUGCCUUCCUCUCUACGUCUUUGUCCACCGCUGCAAGUACUUCUGGGAGCAUGGCGUGCCGAUGUGGUGGCCCGACGUGAACCUGAUGAACGGGUGGCAUCUCAAGCACGACAGGGUUCCGGUGCCGGUCUCAGACGCGCGCGGCUGGCAAAGAUCCGCCGCCAUCAUGCUCAACUCCCGGUUGAGCUCCGCCAUGACCCAGCGUACACAGUGGACUCACCGAACUGGGACGCGUGGUUCACCUCUAAGCAUGACUUGCACCGCCAAUUAAGCUUCAAGGGUGCGCCCCGUGCACCGCACGAGCUUGCCGCUCCACCACCACCGUUGGUGGUGUAGGAGGAGGAUCGGGCGGUCGAGGAUCCCUACAUUACGGACCUCGAGGAGGCCACAAGGAGGGCCAUUGAGAAGUCCGAGCACGAGGAGCUCGCCAGGUGGCCUGCCUUUCGCAAAUGUUGGCCGAAUUGGCGGCUAGAGUGGAGGCGAACGCGCCCUCACUCCUACCAAACCCGCCCGCGUCCGAGCCAGUGGAGGAGUGGUGGGAGCUGGAGCACCAAUCUUGCUUGUGGACAAGCACGGUGCCCUGCUCGCCCAUGCACGUGGCGUGCACGCCUGUGUGGUUGGGCGCGUCCGAGGAAGAGGUCAAGCGGCACGCGUUGGCUAAGCAGCAAACGCCGGCAACAUUCCAGGAGGCCUUUUCGUGGAUGGAGGUGCCGGUCUUCUUGGUCCUAACCAAAGAGGAUGACGACGACGACGCAUAGUUUUUAUUUUUCUAGUUUAAAUUAAUGUAAGACUUGACUUGCUGGCUGUUUUUUAUAAUUCGAAUUUGCGUCCAAAUGUACAAUGUGUCUGUUCACGUUGGCCGCAUUUAUGAGCCGGCGGACAAAACCAACUCUGGAAAAAAAAGAGGAUAAAAUCCGCAUUCAUUUGGGUCUCUCGUUGGAGUUCCCUUGCAAUAUACUCCCUCCAUUUCAAAUUACUUGCCGCGUGUAUGGAUGUAUCUAGAUGUAUUUUAGUUCUAGAUACAUUCAUUUCAGCGAGUAAUUUGGAACGAAGGGAGUAACAUCAACCACGCGGAGCCGGUGUUGCACUAGCUGCAUGGAAGCCCCCUUGCGGCGCCGUCCCUCCCCCUUGCAUCGUCCCAUGUCGCGGUCACAACAUCGCUCCUCACCUGUCGCAGCAGCCGCGCACCUUUGCCGUAGCCGCCCCACCUCGUCCUCGUGUUCGCUCGUCAUCGGUGCGCCCGCCGGUUCGCAACGUCCUCGCUCGUCCGCUUGCAGUGCUGGCCCACAAGGGAGACGCGUGCGGGUGUGGGAGCGACCGCUCGCACGCUGCGAUCGACCACCCAAUUCUAGCCGUUUACUAUUUGCCUUCUCUUCUCUUAGUACGCUGCUCUGUAGAAAGAAAAAAAAUAACGGCCUCAAUGCUAAGAGGCGUAGCAAGAUGACUCGUGACUGUCUGAAUCGGAGAGGAGUGCUGGAGGUGAACAGAUAUGAAAUAUCGUUAGGACUCCGACAGACCUACUUCUGCGCCCAUUUCAUUUCGCCUCUCAAAUUUCGAUUCGACAGUGGUGCGGAGUUCUGCGAACAGACAUCGUACGUUAUUACGACUGCCUACGCGUGUACCCCGCUACAAAGGGGGCGGGACAAAACCUUCGAUGGUGUAAUAGUUACGAUAACUAGGUCCCAACAUUGAAGUUGCCACCAAUCCAUUGUCGUCCAGCGGUUAGGAUACCUGGCUUUCACCCAGGCGACCCGGGUUCGAUUCCCGGCAAUGGAAUUUUUAUUUCCAUUGAAACAUUUGUUCCUUCGGGUGUCCUUUUCCUUUCCUGAUUAUUCUCUAGAGCAGCAGUGGUAUCUUUUAUUUAUUUGUUGCAAAAAAUACUUCGUAGCUUUUUUCAGCAAUUUGUUCUUCAAAAAUUUUAUCAGAGCUACCAACGAUCCGAAUUUUAUUAGAGUUGCCGAGAAUUCUUUGUUUAUAAUGUGCUUACAGUUAGCACACGACACUUGACAGCAGUCUCUCAGUACAACUAGCUGAUGCUAUCGCAAAAAAAAAAAGUACAACUAGCUGAUGGAUCAGGACUCGGCAUUUGCUCAAUAUUCAUCCUUCGAAUCAGGACUCGGCAUUUGCUCAAUAUUCAUCCUCCGUUUACAUUCUUAUUGACGGGAGCGAUAAAACUGAUCAGAAUUCAUCGGAAUCUCCAGGCAAAAAUACCUUGCUACGAAGGCACAUUAAGACUUUACAAUGCAGUAUCCUCCUUCCAACACCAGCUAAAAACUUCCAAUUUCCAUCCCAGAUGCAAAAUACUGAAGCGUGCCACUCAAACUACAGAAGACUAAUACAAUACAGACUCGCUGUAGACUAGUAAGUACAGUAGUGAUAACCACAAUGACAGCUGAGCUGUGUAACGGGCCAAAGGAAUGGAUGAAUAAGGCAAACUGCCACUGUUCAUGUGCAAGAAAAUAUGACGGACAUUUAAAAGAAAAAUGCCGGACAGGCGACGGGUAGAUGACCCCGCAGAGGCUCUUAGACCUAGGACCAUAUGCAGGCAAAAGCUUUGGAACCGGUGUUUAGUUUGCUGUGAUAGUUCGCUGUGCAGAGCGGUUGAUUAACCCCAUUUGACGAUAGCCGAACCCCAGAUGAGUCCAGCUCCGAAGCCAGAUGCUGCGAUGACGUCGCCCGCCUUCACCUUCCCGCCACGAACAGCCUCGUCCAGUGCUAAUGGAAUGGAUGCCGCACUGGUGUUGCCGUAAUUAGCAAGGUUUGAGAUGACUUUUUCCGAUGGGAUAGAUAACCGACUGGCAGCAGCAUCGAUGAUCCGCUGGUUAGCCUGCAAAACAUCGAUGGGGUCAGUUAGAUCGAUGCUUCAGGUCAAAGAGUUUCAUGGUCGAUAGGCUAGGAUACUCACUUGGUGAAGCAACAGCCAAUCUAUACUGGAGGCAGGUAGGCCGGCCUCCUCUAGCGCCUUCUCGAUGGACUGUGGGACACAACGUACAGCAAAGCGGAAAACCUCCUUUCCGUUCAUUUCGAUGCAAGAAAAGUUGGUCUUCUUCGGUGGGAAGCCAGGGACACCAUUGGUCUUGGAUAAGAUUGAGUCAGCGUUCGAUGAUGAACAAUGCAGGUGCCUACAUAAGUAUAAUCAACAAACAUAAGAAAGUGACCUACUAGAAAUGUAACCUCAACACUUUCUAGAAAGAAGGCAUACUUUUGCCCAUGGCCAUCGCUUUGCACACAAAAACCUAGCAAGCCAUCUUCAUCAGCAUUGCAUGACUGCAAUAUCGAGGAUUUAAAAUUAGACAAAAGAACUUGCACAAGGAUCUUGCAAAUUACAAUGCCACGCUACCACCGAACACCUCAUACCUGUACUACAACAAAUUGCAGUGUCUUACCCAAUAGACUGUACAGAAAGACUACAGCCAACUGAACCAUGGAAAGCAGACCAACAUUUCAGCAAAAAAGAACAGAUACCUGGACCAAAACAGCACCAGCAGCAUCGCCAAAGAGGAUGCAUGUACCUCUAUCUGUCCAAUCCACAUAUUGCGAAAGAGCAUCUGCCCCAACUACAAGGACAUUUUGAAUACCUCCACCUACAAUAGUGGCAGAUAAUAAAUUAUUAAUCCACCAAGGCGCUCAAUAGCAACCCAUUGUGAAUAUUUAACAAGGGAAUUACCUUUGAUAAAACGAGUAGCUGUAAUUAAACCAACAAUGAACCCACUACAGGCAGCAGUGAUAUCAAAGCCAAAUGCAUUUGUGCACCCCACCUCCGCCAGCACCUGUUUUCAUUUUAUCUUGAUGUUAUUUAUGCAAAAAUGGGCAUAUAAAAUGCAUAAAGCACUAGAGCAGAGUGGCACCGAUGAUUAGAACAACUAAUUUACUGAUAGUACAAAACAUUAACAGUACUACUAAACAGGGAAAAAAAUUGAAUGAAAAUACAAAAAUGGAAAGACCAUUACAUAGUUCAUAUUAUUUGAUGACUACGUUAUUAUCAAAUAUAGGCUGCUCCACAAAGUAUGCCAGUGAAACAUUUUUAGUUUUGACUAUCAAAUAUAGAUAUGUAAUAACUUCGAAGUACCAAUAUAGUCAUCACAAAUGAAACAUACUAUCAUCAUCUAUAUUCAUUAUCAUGCAUUACAACAUACUUCCAUAGAAAUCACUUUUCUCUGUUCUAAAUACAUCCCAUUCUAGCUUCUGGAUUUUUGUUCCGAAAUACAUGCCAAUUUACAAGUUUGAGGCAACUACUGCGGUACUGCCAUUGUUUGCUUCGCAUAUCCCUAACAUUCAUUAAUAUACUAGAUUAACACAUAACAUCCAACAUUCAUAAUGAGCUAAUUAUGGAUGCAAAUGUAAUGUGUCGUAUACAUGCCUUAGUUGGAGUGCCCUAAAUUACAGCCAUUCAGGAACAGAGGGAGUAUUGUUCAAAGACUGAAAGCAGUACUUUGGAGACUAUCAGUACUGAAGUGAAAAAAUUUACUGACAGAGAGUAUUACAAUUUAAAAAGAAAUUCCUCAGAUAAAUUAACAAUAAGAUAGUACCAUUUCUACCCCAACUUAUGAUAUACAGUAAAUAAAAAGGAAAAUAUUCUCAAGCAUGAGAUGACUCGCAUUAAAAGCAGGAAUAUGCAGUCGCUCAGACAUAUCAUUGUUUUAAAUAACAUAAGUAGUUUGCAUAUAAGUAUGACAACUACUGUAUUCUUGAGAAAAGACAGGGAUGGCAACUACUAGAAUGAUUUAAUAGAUGUGCAUAGCCAUACCCGACCAGCACCGCCAAAGAGAUCGUCUGGAGUAGAUGUGCAAAAGAGAACAAGGUCAACAUCUUCAGGUCUUACUUGGGCCAUCUCAAGUGCCCUUUGUGCUGCCUUUACUGAAAGCCCUCCCAGUGUUUCGCCUCCUAACACAUUUGAAAAGAACAAAUUACUCCUGAAACAUAAACAAAUGAAAUAUGUCUCCAAAACGGAAUUGUUGCGACUCCUAAGCUUUCUUCCACAAAAUCUGAUACUCUGUUACCUGCCUACUUACACACAGUGGGGCCAACUCCCAAUGAUGUUAUUGAAACGUCUUAUAAUUAGAUAUGUACAUUGACUUAAAAAACAUGUGAAAAGCGCUGCGUUUAUUAUAUACUUAUAAGCCAGCCAGGAAUUUGGUAAGAUACCAAGACAUAAAUUUAUCAGCAUUUAUAUUUACUCUUCUAAAAUCGUUUAUUUAUUAUAUUUACAAUAGCUCGUGCCCACGUCACAUGGUGUUGCUAGUCCUUAACCAUGUAUGCAGAAGGGUGCUUUGCGACAAAUGCUCAUUUACAAUCAUUAAUUGAAUCGAUGUGCGUUCACUAAACUACUUCAACCACCAACAACGACGUGACACACAUAUCAUCCACAAGUUGUCACCUAGCUAAGAGAAAGAAAACAAAUACUACUCAGAAGUAACCAGUAUACAUCAUGCCAGAGGGGCCACAAUUGGCCUGAAUCAGGCUAGCUUACUGAACUAGGAGGGAAAGAAGUGUAAUAGAAAAUACCUGAAAGAACCCGCCUGUUCCGAAUCCCAGUCCGCGCCGCGAUCCAUUCAUCGGACGUUUCAACAAAUUUUGAAAGGUCGUCAUUUGAAAUACAAAGUGAUGGAGUGGCCGAUCCGCUUCCGAUGAGCUUUGAGCCCAUGCCAACCACCCUGCAAUUUCUCAUGGCCGUUAAGAAAUGUUCUACCACGGUAAAUCCUAAAUCAUGUUAACAAUAAUUGAGAUGAGUGAGCCCAGCAACACAGUUGGAUCAAGACACAAGCAACAGCAUUGUGGCACUGCCUACUGCACAGUGAGCUACAAAAAUAGCACCAUCUGCCGCAGCAUUUAUGAGCAAGCUGGGCAGAUCCCCAUCCAUGGUCAUGGAUUGGAGACCACGAGUAUUGCUGGGGUCUAGCGAGCUACCAUCUGCACGACGGCUAUGCAUGAGGGCGACCUAUUCUGGUGACACGCAGUAAGACUAGUGAGAACAAGCAUCGUGGCACCAUCGCUAUAGUACCAAAGAGCAGAAGCUUCUGAACGGUGAUGAGCAUCCGAUCUGGCUACAUAGAACUGCUUCGUUUCCAUCUUAAAACUCCCGUAUAAACCCGUAGCGGUACCGAAAGGAAGGCCCCAGAAUAACCAAAUUCUGCAGCGCGAGCCAACGCAGGCUAAUAAAUGCGAAAGUGGCGCAGAUAAGGGUGGUAGUUGAACCUCCUACCGGAAAGCCACUCACCGACUAACCAAAUCACAUAAGCGAGCACCUGAUUGAGACCAAAACCUGAGCGAAUUGAAACCAAAACCCGAGCCGAAUCACGGACAGAUCAAACUGAAAAUCACGCCCUACUAGUGAAAUCUCCUCGGAAUCAGACAAUGAGGUGCUGGGAGGAAGAUCCUCAGUAAACGAACAGCGCGAGGACAGCCUGAAUUCAUGUUAACAGAGAUUGGAGAAGCAGAGCACAAGCAAUGACUGAGUGAUUCACGUCUCGGCGCGUCGACAUUGCAGGUAGUGAGGCGCGUGAGCGGGGGCAGUGGCGCGGCGUUACCUGGGGAGGCGGGGCCUGGGCGCGGCCGGCGCGACCACGCUGUCGUCGACGGCGGAGGCGCAGCACCGCAGCUGCGCCGCCACGGAGGCCUUAGCGGCUGCGGCCACCGGAGGGGAUCGGAGGAAGCCGGGCCGGUGCCCUGCGCGCGCCCGCGCGCAGGGGAGCGCGGCCGCGGCCCGCGGCGGCGCGAUGCCGGAGGCGGCCACCAUGGCGCGGGCAGCCGGAGAUCUCGCUGCGGCGGCGGCGGCCCCGAGUAAGAGUGAGGGGAGAAUCAGUUGAAAAGGCUAAGAAGGAUGAGCACGGGUCGGCGGCGGGUGCGAGGGGGAGCGUGGCCGGGGGAGUGGAUAUAGGGGCGGCGGCGNNNNNNNNNNNNNNNNNNNNNNNNNNNNNNNNNNNNNNNNNNNNNNNNNNNNNNNNNNNNNNNNNNNNNNNNNNNNNNNNNNNNNNNNNNNNNNNNNNNNNNNNNNNNNNNNNNNNNNNNNNNNNNNNNNNNNNNNNNNNNNNNNNNNNNNNNNNNNNNNNNNNNNNNNNNNNNNNNNNNNNNNNNNNNNNNNNNNNNNNNNNNNNNNNNNNNNNNNNNNNNNNNNNNNNNNNNNNNNNNNNNNNNNNNNNNNNNNNNNNNNNNNNNNNNNNNNNNNNNNNNNNNNNNNNNNNNNNNNNNNNNNNNNNNNNNNNNNNNNNNNNNNNNNNNNNNNNNNNNNNNNNNNNNNNNNNNNNNNNNNNNNNNNNNNNNNNNNNNNNNNNNNNNNNNNNNNNNNNNNNNNNNNNNNNNNNNNNNNNNNNNNNNNNNNNNNNNNNNNNNNNNNNNNNNNNNNNNNNNNNNNNNNNNNNNNNNNNNNNNNNNGACUGACUCACCCACACCCUAUGCGGACUGGCCUCGCCUCGGGUUGGACGGACCGGUGGUACUGGUGGUGGAGCACCCCACGCCGUUUUCCCCUAGUUCUCGACGGAAACCGGCCUACCACAUCGUCGGGGAUACCAUCCAGCGGAAAGGGAAAGCGGUCUGCGGUCGACACGAUGCGGCGCGUACGCUCAUUUUGGGCGCGUGCGCGUCAGAGUACCGUGUGGUCGUAUCCAAGGACUCCGCCGUGGUACCGUGCAGCGCGGCGCCACGUGGCGGUCGGUCGCGGAUGUCAUUGCCCAGCUUCGGACGCAUCGGUCGCGAUCGUGCGUACAGCACCACCUUUGGCGCCGGGCCAGCAGCAACUGUAGCGUACUAGCGUUAACGCCUCCCUCCCUCACCCUCGGUCGCAUCGCUGGUCGCCGGUUAACCACAGGGCCUGUUUUUGCUCGCCAAGACCACAUCCACAUGGACCGUUGAUUCCUAGUACCGGUCGGUCAUCAGCGAACCACCAAACCGCUUUCACUACUACAGUACAAACUUCGACAUGUCGUGUUUUUUCCCGUUUUUUUCCCCUUUGCAAAGACUCUAUCCUCACAUUCUUUUCUUACACUAGAACUCCGGUACGUCACGCAAAUUGGAAUUUCAAUUGCACCGCACAAAUUCGCAGGAGCUUGUUGUGUGGAUUGAUCACACUGAUGCGAUGUUGGUUUCAUAAGAAUAUAAAACGCAGUUGGGUGCAAUUAAAUCAUUGUAAAUGUGAAUCACAACCGUCUAGACCAUUGGUAUCAAUAUCAAUCAACGGCUGAUAUCACGCCUCAAGCCUAGGAUUAAUAAUUUUCAAAAUCGAUACACUAUAUAGUAGUGUAGAUAUUUUGUCAAACUUUGAACCAUUUGACUUCACACAAACUUUAUCCGCCUUAUUGCCAAACACGGUUUUCAAGCAUAGAGAGAGUGAGGGCAUCGGUUAAGAAGGCUAGCUUCACUUGUCGGUCCGCAUAGUCAAUGUAGUAUAUGGCAUGCCACAUAUGAGUUGCACGCCUAUGUAAGGAUAUUGAUUGCUUCUUGAUUGAAGUCGGUACAUGAUGCUGGACUCCCUUUGAAGACAAUUAUCUCAUAAACGAAAAUAAAUGUAUUAAUUUGGAACCACAAAUGAGAGUCGUACCGUUUGAUAUCAUCCUAUUUGGAAAUAUUGUAUCCACACUAGAAGGUUAUACACCAACUGGGGGGGGGCAUCAUGGAGGUGGGAGAGUUGUGAGAUUCUCAAUUACUCGGUACAGGGAAGUAAACUCUUAAUAAUCUAGAACCAUAAAUGAGCAUUACACCGUUCAAACUAGAAAGGUUAUACACCAACGCGGGGUGAGAGUUGUGGAGGUAGAAAAGCUACUAUGAGAUUGUCAACUAUCCGGUAAAAAUGCCUUAAUUCGGACUAGAAUAAAAGCUACUAUGAGCUAAAAUAUUGUUGUCCUCGUUUUUGGGAAUAUUGUAUCCAAACUAGAAAGUUAUACACCAACGCUGGGUGAGAAUUAUGGAGGUAGAAGAGCUAUGAGGUUCUAUAGCGAUAUGUGAGAUCUUGUGUUGGUUGUCAUGGUAGCUCUUUGAAAUCAUUUAAAUAUGGAGAGAAAAAAGUUUGCAUUUCAAAGAUGAAGUUUCUUACUUCUAUGUCAACCCAAUGUGGCAAUAGUAUCGUGCCCUGCCUAACCAAAUAAAUCUCGCUGUCACAUAUGUACGAUGAGAAAACCUAACUUCGCUGUCUCAAGGAGAUGACAUGAAUCUAUGAGGGAUCCUUGCCUAAUCCUCUCAACGGAUGAACUUGAGGAGAAUCGAAAACUUGAAGACUGACUCGAAGAAACGGUGACAUUCGUCUCAGUGCCACCCCUGCAAGGACUACAACCCUAAACUAUCUACUAGCCGAAGAUGAGGCACCGAGAUUCUCCCCCCACCACCAACCGGCGAAGCGACAAGCAGAUAGGAUGCGAAUAUACAGGCUUGCUGAUGGAGAUGAAGGAUAGGAAGAUUUUGCCCUAGUCGCCUGGCGAGAGAGGAAACAAAGGCAAUGGAACGGUUUAACUCUCUUCCCCUAAACAAACGGGCGACCCUACGCGUCCGCCGGCAGAAAUUUAAAAAAGAUCCGCCGCCUCCCUAACCAUUGGAUGGACACAUUAAUGACCAUCCGAUCUAUCAAAAUAAGCAGCCAUACUUUGCAACAAUCUGCUUGUUGCAAUCACCUGAGCCUGUAUUUUUUUAUUUUUAUUUUGCAACAGAGAUCUUAUUGCAGAAUUUUUUCACAACGAAGAUCUUGUUGCAAAAAUUUUAGAGACCACCAUUGUUUGUACUUUUUAAUUUUCUGCAACAGAGCUCUUGCUUCGGAAUUUUUUCGCAACAAAGGUCUUGUUGCAGAAUUUUAAAAAUCUCACGACACGAGCAUGUAGUUUUUUGUUUUUACAACAGUGGCCCCGUUGCAAAAAAUUUAAAGAUCGAUUGCAACAGGGGACAUGUCCUUGAAUUUUUUUGUAACAGAGUUUAUGUUCCAAAAAUUAUUUUCGAAACGGAGCCCGUGAAAUUAAGGAGAUGAUGCCGCUCGCAGCAUCGAUGUCCCUGUAUUUUUUUGCAAUAAAGAUCUUAUUGCAAGAAUUUUUUCGCAACGGAUAUCUUGUUGCAGAAAUUUUAAAGAUCACCCUUGUCUAUAUUUUUUCAUUUUCUGCAACAGAGAUCUUGUUUCGGAAUUUCUUCGCAACAAAGGUCUUGCUGCAGAUCUUGAGGGGGUUCAGGUCCAGAUCCCGUAACACACCAACUGUUUGUAGGAUGUGAUGUGUGAUGCUAUGUGGUCCAAACAGCGCUAUGUGCUAUCCAUGCCACACGAUCAUCACGGAUUGAACGAUGUACGAGGCGGCCGACGCGUGAGAGUUAUCCGCCGGCUGAACCAAAACUUUUUCCUAAACAAAUGCAAGACUAUUUUUCUUGAGGGAACAAAUGCAAGACUAGUUUAGUUUGAUUUUAGCCAAUUUUUUCUUAAAUUUUAGCCAAAUCCUUUUUCUCAACGUAUUUGUCUCGACGAAUCUGAAGAUUUUACACCAUGUGAGCCCUUUUGCUGACCCCCCGGUAAUCUUCGUGGGGCUGACUGAUCGGACGCCCAGGAAUCGUUGACCCUCCACGUGUCCUCCAUCCGACCAUCAGUCCCCUCCCACCCAAUCCCCAAAUCCACACACCCUUUCCCUUCCCACGCAUCCAAACCCCAAACCCCCACCCGCACCGGCGUUCGCCGGAGAACCUCCCCGCCGGCCGCCGCCAUGCCGCCGCCUCUCCAGGCCCACCGCAUGCUCCUCUCCCACCGCCGCACAUCCCCUAUCCCCCGCCGCCGCUUCACCGCGGUCUCUUCCCUCUCCUCCGCCCCCGCCAAGACCCUGGCCCCGGGCCAGCCCGCCUCCUCCAUCCUCUCCAUCCGCGAGUCGCUCCUGUCCGGCGAGAGGACCGCCGCCGACAUCACCUCCGAGUACCUCUCCCGCCUCCGCCGCACCGAGCCGAGCCUGCGCAGCUUCAUCCACGUGGCCGACGCCGCCGCCGAGCGGGAGGCCGAGGAGCUCGACCGGAGGAUUUCCUCCGGCGGGCGGGAUGCGGUGGGGCCGCUCGCCGGGGUGCUCGUGGGCGUCAAGGACAACAUCUGCACCGCCAGCAUGCCAUCCACCGGCGGGUCGCGGAUACUGGACGGGUUCCAGCCCGCGUACGACGCCACGGCCGUGCGGCGGCUGCGCGAGGCGGGCGCCAUUGUGGUGGGGAAGACUAACCUCGACGAGUUCGGCAUGGGGAGCACCACCGAGGGCUCUGGGUUUCAGGUACGGAGGCUCACUGAUCAGAUCCUGUACACUGUUUUGUCCAAGUUCGUUUAAGUUUGCAUCAUCAGAAAAAAGUGCUAAGAAUGGUAGUAGAUGCGUAUUUAUGCUGGUCCGUAGAGGUCGAUAAAAUCAAAUUUGGUUAGUUUGUAUAUUGAAUUGCGAAUACAUGUUGCAAGUGUUUAGUUCGUUGAGGUCAAUCAAAUCAAACUUGGGACUCGGCGACUCAGUUCAUCUGUUGAAUAGCAAAUACAUGUUGCAAGUGUUUAUUGAUGUGAAUGGAACUUCUUGCUGCUUCCGACUUUCUUAAACAUAACCUCGAGUUUCCUCUGUUGCAUAAUAAUGCGGCCCUAUCAGAUGACAUAAAAUUAACGGAUAACACUGAUGGUAUGCAGGUGACAACAAACCCUUGGGAUGAUUCGCGCGUGCCUGGCGGAUCCUCAGGUGGUUCUGCUUCUGCGGUUUCUGCUAGACAGUGUGUGGUGUCCUUAGGGAGUGAUACAGGUGGAAGUGUGAGGCAACCGGCAUCGUUUUGUGGUGUGGUAGGGUUAAAGCCAACUUAUGGCCGGGUAUCUCGUUUCGGCCUCAUGGCUUAUGCUUCAUCACUGGAUGUUGUGGGAUGCUUUGGAUCAUCAGUUUUUGACACUGCAACCAUAUUGUCCGUCAUUGCUGGCCAUGACAAAAUGGAUUCAACCAGUAGCUCUCAUGUAAGGAAACUGAAACUUAACCUUAAUGUACAUCUUACAUUUUUUGUUUGUUUCAAUCUAGAUAUGUUUUCAUCUGAUUUAGCUGGCAAUCGCUUAUACUUUCCUUAGGUUCAUCGAGUUCAAUAACUAUGACUAAGAAACAGCCUUUUAGCAUGCAAGCAUGUAGUACGAAACAUGAAAGGAAGUCAUAUGGCUAUUAACUUGCCUGAGCGACCUUAUCUUGUGUUGACAACUGUCAUUCUUAAUGAGGAGGAUUCUCUCGUUGUACGUUUCCUUCUCAUGAAUCAUGAUUUUUGUGUGUCACUUGUUUGAUGCACUUAUGGUGUUGAACUGUUGCCGACCACUGUGAAAUGCUAUUGCCCAUUUACUUUGUGAGGGCAGAAGGACUACAUACUGCUGCGCAUCUCAACCAUAUAAAAUGCUAAUGCAAUUCACUAUGUGUAAGAAAACGUGCAAUGCACGCUCGUGGUGUUUCUUUGCAAGGCGUUAAAAUUCAACAUUUAUUUUUUGCUGGAUCCACAUCUAUGCAAGCGGAUCUGGAGCUAGUAGAUCUCGAAGCAAGACGGCAAUAAGCUUGGUUCAUCACUGCUCAAUCUGAUCUCUUGUAUCACUUUCUCAGGAUGUUCCAGACUAUAGAUCAGACUUGGCAUCUCUAAGUUUACUAGAAUCAAAACCAUUAAAUAGUGUGAGAAUUGGGAUUAUCCAAGAAACUCUUGGAGAGGGUGUGGAUGCUGGAGUCAUAUCAUCAAUCAGGGCUGCUGCUUCACAUCUGGAACAGCUGGGAUCAGUAGUGGAAGAGGUUUGUUGCUUCCCUUUUGCUGGAAAAAGAAUAAAAUAAAUAAAUAUGGAUAUUUUUUGUUGUCCUAUGAGGGAUUUCUGAAAGAUAAUAAUCACCGAACUAUUCUUUUCAAUACUUUUCAGGUUUCUAUGCCUUCAUUUUCUCUUGGCUUACCAGCAUAUUACAUACUGGCCUCUUCUGAAGCUUCAUCUAAUUUGUCACGCUAUGAUGGCAUCAGGUGGUACCUGAACCUUUCCUUUUCCAAUAAUUUUUUCCAUUCUAUAAAUAUUUAUCUUCUUGGAAAGUCAUUUUCAGGUAUGGGCAGCAGGUUUCAGCUGACGACUUGAAUGAGCUGUACGGAAAUUCCCGGGCUAAUGGUCUCGGUCAUGAGGUACAGUGCCUCCACCGGCCUAACCAAGAUCCUCCUCCCCACUUCUCAGUAUCUGUCCUUAUUGUGAAUAAAUGAACAUUAGUACUACAGAAAUGGAAGCAUAGAAAGCUAUCACACCUGUUUGUUGUGUAUGAGUUUAGAAAGCUGAUUUAACAUGCAUAAAUAAACUUCUGUUCUGUAACCCAACCAACUCUGCACAUGUCAAUCUCAUUGUAGGUGGCACCAUGCUAGUUGGAAUGCUAAUUGUAUUGAUAUUAUGUGUAACACGCCAGCGGAAUCUAUAAUCCCUAAGCAAGGAAAAAGGAUAAUAGUUCUGUAUACAACGUUGGGUAUUACUUAUAUAUUUUGUGUUUUAAGUGGACUACAGUAAUGGUUUGCGGUAAAUCACAUGAAGUAUAAUUUUGAUUGCUCUUUUCAGGUCAAAAUGAGAAUUUUGAUGGGAACUUAUGCAUUAUCUGCUGGAUACUAUGAUGCAUACUACAAGCGAGCACAACAGGUAACCAUAGGAAGGGAGCACCCAGUGCGAAUUUGCACUUUGAUUAUUUUUACCUCUUAACUGACAAAAUUUGCACUGUAGUAGGUGAGGACGCUGGUUAAGAAAAGCUUCGAAGAAGCUUUGGGAAAAUAUGAUAUUCUUAUUUCACCUGCUGCUCCAUCAGCAGCCUACAAGAUAGGUAUGGUAUUAUCUGCUCACCUGUAAUCCUGUCCUCCCUAAAAGAAGUAUGGUCCCUUCCCUGCUUUCCUUUCACAUUGAAAACGUGAGCCCUUUUGGCAGGCGAAAAGACAAAUGAUCCAUUAGCUAUGUACGCCGGAGACAUCAUGACGGUAAUAAACUCUUGAAUGCACUUUUUUUUUACAUAUAACCGCAGAAUUAUCUCUGUUUGCUCCAAAGUAAUAGUAACGUUGCCUGCUGCAUCGUGCGCCUUUUAGUUAUUGCAAAUAUAGUUUAACAUAUUGGUAAAACUGCCAGCUGAAAUUGAAUUCUUUCCACCGUUAUUUUGCGUGUUAAAAGUUACCAUGGUAAUGAGAUCUUAAAGAGCGCAGUGCAAAUCUGGUAUGGCUGAUGCAGGUGAAUGUUAACAUGGCUGGGCUUCCUGCAUUGGUUGUGCCUUGUGGAUUCGUCCAAGGUGGAUCUGCUGGUCUCCCAGUCGGACUUCAGAUGAUUGGAUCUCCCUUCAGUGAGGUAAAAUAUAUUGCUAUUGCCUCUCUGAACGGCAUAUCAUCAUUCCAGGACCAGUGUAGUUCCCCUUUCAGUUGUUUCUACCUAUUUUCUUAAAUCAAGUGAUUCAAUUGAUGACCAACGUUUUCAUAAUUUACAGGGGAAAUUGCUGGAAGUAGGCCACAUCUUCGAGCAAACGCUGCAGGAUCUCAGCUUUGUCCCACCACUGGUGGCAGAUAACUAGCGCCCUUCUCCUGUCUCGUUCAAGCGGUUCCUAGGGCUGCACGGGUCUUAGAGGGUCCCUCUUUUCAUUCGUUCCUGAAGUUUUGAGCUAUAUUUCAUUGUUGUAUGCCGAGGAAACCGGUUCUGCGCAAUGGGGGUGGUCGGUGGAGAUCUCUCCCUCGUGGGGGAGUUGUUGAGAAACAAAAUGAGACAGGUACAUGUGCUGUUUCUGCAAGCCAACUGCUGGAUGCAGUGCUCGCAUUCAGUGUCUGCCCACAUAGUAGAUGAUAAUUUUUUUGUAACCCUGGUUCACAUCAGUGAUAUUUUGCAAAUCCUUUUGAUUGAUUGACUGAUAAUAGUGCAAGCUGUUCAUGGCUUCAUGCCCACCGCGUUUUCGUGAUAAUCGGUGAUCUGUCUGCUCCUCUUUGAGAAAACAGUCAACUCUGGCAGUCUGUGCUUUCAACAGUCUUCUGAUCUGUAUGCGGUUGCUGAGCUGUGCUAUGAUUCGUUGUUGAAAAUGAUCAUCUAAUGAUAUUUUUGAGGUUUCAAAAAAAUCUGAAAAAAGUAUACACACAAUACAUAUUUCUUUGUUUUUGUAUUUACAUAUUUCUUUGUUUUUUUGUGCAUCUCACGCCAAAACGUAUCUCUUAAUGAAAUUUUACAAGAAUGCACCCCCUCUCGUUUGUUUAUUUUUGCUCCGCAUAUAAGAUUUGUUUGAAGUCAAACUACACGAAAAUUGAUCAUAUGUAUAUGAAAAGAAUAUCAACAUCUACAAUAGUAAAGUUAUAUAGGAUGAAAAUUAAUUUCAUAAUGCAUCUAAUGAUAUUGAUUUCAUAUUGCGAAAGUUGAUAUUUUUUCCUAUGUAGGUCAAACUCUACAAAGUGUAAGAAGCAGAGGGAGCAUACAUAUCUAAGGUGUGUGUAUGUUUUUUUCAAGUUAAAAAAAAAUCUCAUUUUCGUUUUAUUAAAGUUUGGGCUCCAUGAAGCUCAAGGGCAAGAAAUCGUCUCAGAAAAAGCAAGUCAAACGAACGCUAUAAAAUAGGCAAAAGCAGGUCCCAAAAAAAUUAAUGUCGAUCUUUUAAUUUACUUCACAUAAAUUCAGAAUUUUGUGUUUAUUUGGUUCCAAGCCGUAACGCAACAACUAAUUCCUCCAAGAAAAGCUGAGAAAGGAAUACAGUAGCUGCCAAAGAGAUACACACAACCAGAAAGAAAGAUACAGACCAGAGUGGAAGGUACAGAGCUGGUUCACAGCGAAGCGUGCCAAAAUACAGGUGCACAACGUCUGGAUAAUAAAUAUGCAACUAAAACUGAGCGUGCAGGGGAACGAAAUACGGUACAAAAGAAUUUUUACUACUGCACAUAGCCACUAGUUUCACCAUCAUUGUUUGGUUCCCAAAGUACAGAGAGAGAUUAUUUUGGGUCUUGGAUGGCCAUAAUUUUAGGCUGCACACAGCCUGAAACAAAAACCUCCGCCACUCUAUAUAAACAGAUUCAAUCCUGGAGCUCCAGCACCAGAACUUAUUGUUUCCACCGCUGCAAGGAGGAAAAACAAUACAACGUUAGAGAAAGAGAG